Rattus norvegicus (Norway rat) is the source of this 612-nucleotide non-coding RNA. The record is from RefSeq and is a predicted model, not a curated record. Lineage: Eukaryota; Metazoa; Chordata; Mammalia; Rodentia; Muridae.
UCCGACGUGGGCUGGGGGAGGUGGAGAGAUUGAUGGGUACUCACCCGGCAUGCAUGAGUCGCUGGGUUCCCUCCCAGCACUGCAUAUAAAUUGAGCAUGGUGGUACGCGCCUCUAAAGGUUAGCUCUUGAGAGGGGCAGACAGGAGGGUCAGCGAUGUUAGGAAUGGCUACUGCUUCUGGAACGUUCUCCGAGUUACCACCUGAUUGAUGGCUAAGAUUAACUGAGCUCUUAACUCUGAGUUGGACACAUGCCUGACGCUUUCCCCCGACACGGCGCCUUCCCCACCACGACCAUCCCUGUUCUUCGGAAGAGGGAAACUGAGGCAAGCCAUCAGGCCGGUAUCACACAGCAGCAGACUGGGAAGCUGAGAGCCUCCUGGGAGUUCUGCCAGGCCCAGAGCAUUGCGAGGGGACAGGACUGAGUGUGUUACCAUCCCUAACCGCUAUGCAGGCUGAAUGCCACCAUGUAGCAAGCCUCUCCUCUAACCUACGGCGGCGUCACAUGCUAUAUCUAUCCACUGUCAGCCGAGACUGCCGGGAAGACGCCUGAUUUCAAGGGAAGUUGAGCGCAUCUCCAGACUGGCGAAAUACAAUAAACUGUACUGGAUGUGG